AAAAGAAGAAAGACAAGAAAGCUGUGAGUUACAUUAACCCGGGAAGAAGGCUUAAAGGACAGGCCGCAGGAGUCAAGUUUAGAAUUCCGAAUGGUCCAGAAGAGGAGGCGGAGAAUGAUUCAGAGGAAGAGAAUGUUGAUCUCUCCAACCCUGAGGACGACGAAGAUUAUGAAAAUGAACAGUACUCUCCAAGAGAUGAUAAGUACAAGUUGCUGGAAGAACGCAUGCUAGCUAUGGAAGGUCAG
RNAcentral lists this long non-coding RNA (245 nucleotides) under Lathyrus oleraceus (garden pea). RNAcentral describes it as "Pisum sativum (pea) long non-coding RNA (PSAT_LNC021847)". Lineage: Eukaryota; Viridiplantae; Streptophyta; Magnoliopsida; Fabales; Fabaceae. The record is from RNAcentral.